This 42025-nucleotide long non-coding RNA is filed under the name Triticum aestivum (bread wheat). RNAcentral's name for it is "long non-coding RNA (TAES_LNC023958)". The stretch from base 701 to 774 matches the Rfam family "tRNA". The record is from RNAcentral. Lineage: Eukaryota; Viridiplantae; Streptophyta; Magnoliopsida; Poales; Poaceae.
GUAGCUAGGAGUACUAGCUAGCUAGCUACGUGACAGUGUUCUUCUGUGAGUUAAUUCCCAGAUUAGGUCUGGAGUACCGUGUGCUCAGUUCAGUGUGUCUGUUUUUGAUCGAUCAGUCAUAUGAGUGUGUAGUGUAAGGAUCGUUCAAUGGUGCUGUGGCUGUCGUCGUUCUAAUGAUAAAUUAAGUAAUUAUAUUAGUAAUUACGAGCACCUCUAGUGCCACGGUGUUUGAUUGAGAUAUUUUUUAUCUUCUUUGCAACUGUUCUUAUGCGUAAUGCACAGGCUAAAGCCAGUGAUGGCCAGUACCGCGUACAGACGUACUGCAAGACAAACGCAAUGCUGAAUUGCUGAUGCAUUCAUCUGCCGUAGCUAGCUCGUGGCCGCGCGGGGGAUACGGAAUUACGGAGCCGACGCGCGUGCAUGGCUUGAUUUAUAUCGCUACAGGAAACGGCGCAGAGCUUUUAAUCACUGCCGCCGUGUCUACAGUACGUAGCUCCGCGGCAUCGUCCGGUGAAUUUGCUACGGUGCUUGGGUUUUUCUAUUUGAUCUCUGCGGAGGCCACGGGCGGUGCUGUGGUUCUCUUGGAACUUGGUGGAACGGGAGCCUGGCCAGCUGGACAACUAACGAGGAAAUGCUACAAAUUCAUUUAUUUGUAGUAAGAAAGAAUUAAUAGGGAAAUGAGACAUAAAUAUCAAAAGCAGCCCCCGUAGCUCAGUUGGUUAGAGCGUUGGUCUUAUGAGCCGAAGGUCGCGGGUUUGAGCCCCGCCGGGAGCACCUUUUAUAUUUUUGGCUGCACUUUUCACCACUUACAUAAAACUUCCACAUGCCUCCUUUUGUAUAUAUCAACACCUACAGUACUUUUCAUCGUGUGUACUUUCACACUCUUCUUUUUUGUGAGAAAUGCUAUCUGGGGAUUAGAAUCAUCACCAAUCACAUGAGCUAGUUCUCUCGCGUCUCGCGGCAAAUUUCUCGGCUAACAUCGAAUCGUGUUGUUGAGAUUAACCCACAAGAUCGAAGCCAUGGUAGAUUAUUUUGAUUGCGACAACUUUAAACUAAUUGAACGAGCUAGUUCCUCGUGCUUUGUUGAGAUCGACCCCCAGGCCUAGGGAUUAGAGUCAUCAUCAAUCACAUGAGCUAGUUCUUGGCGGCAAAUUUCUCGACUAACAUCUCCAGGGUGAAAACCUAUGAUCUUUGAUCGGGGGGCAACGGCAACGCUUGUGCAUUUUUGGCUGCACUUUUCACCACUUACAUAAAACUUCCACAUGCCUCCUUUUGUAUAUAUCAACACCUACAGUACUUUUCAUCGUGUGUACUUUCACACUCUUCUUUUUUGUGAGAAAUGCUAUCUGGGGAUUAGAAUCAUCACCAAUCACAUGAGCUAGUUCUCUCGCGUCUCGCGGCAAAUUUCUCGGCUAACAUCGAAUCGUGUUGUUGAGAUUAACCCACAAGAUCGAAGCCAUGGUAGAUUAUUUUGAUUGCGACAACUUUAAACUAAUUGAACGAGCUAGUUCCUCGUGCUUUGUUGAGAUCGACCCCCCAGGCCUAGGGAUUAGAGUCAUCAUCAAUCACAUGAGCUAGUUCUUGGCGGCAAAUUUCUCGACUAACAUCUCCAGGGUGAAAACCUAUGAUCUUUGAUCGGGGGGCAACGGCAACGCUUGUGCAUUUUUGGCUGCACUUUUCACCACUUACAUAAAACUUCCACAUGCCUCCUUUUGUAUAUAUCAACACCUACAGUACUUUUCAUCGUGUGUACUUUCACACUCUUCUUUUUUGUGAGAAAUGCUAUCUGGGGAUUAGAAUCAUCACCAAUCACAUGAGCUAGUUCUCUCGCGUCUCGCGGCAAAUUUCUCGGCUAACAUCGAAUCGUGUUGUUGAGAUUAACCCACAAGAUCGAAGCCAUGGUAGAUUAUUUUGAUUGCGACAACUUUAAACUAAUUGAACGAGCUAGUUCCUCGUGCUUUGUUGAGAUCGACCCCCAGGCCUAGGGAUUAGAGUCAUCAUCAAUCACAUGAGCUAGUUCUUGGCGGCAAAUUUCUCGACUAACAUCUCCAGGGUGAAAACCUAUGAUCUUUGAUCGGGGGGCAACGGCAACGCUUGUGCAUUGUUUCCUUUCUGUAGGCAUUGCUUUUGGAGAACCUUCUUUGUAGUCCGGGUGUUAUCUUUGGUGGCGGUUAGAGUGCUGCUACUGCGGGUGAUUGAUCACUGGGGCAGGGUCUUUUUUCUUUUCUUUAUUUUUCUUUUUAUUUUAUUUUCUGGCUGUAUCUUUGAUCGGGCAAUGACCACGCUUGUGCAUUGUUUCCUUCCUGUAGGCGUUGCUUUUGGAGAACCUUCUUUAUAGUCCGGGUGUUGUCUUUGGUGGUGGUUAGAGUGCUGCUACCGCGGGUGAUUGAUCACCGGGGCAGGGUCUUUUUUUAUUUUUUAUUUAUUUAUUUUUCUGGCUGUGUGCAUUCUGGAUGUUGGUGCAGAGACUGGGUGUAAUUGAUAUCUAUUUGAUAUUAAUAUAUUCCUCUUUUAAAAAAACAACGAAUGCAUUGUUGAGAUUAACCCACAAGAUCGAAACCAUGGUAUAUUAUUUUUAUUGCUACGACUUUAACUAAUCUCACGAGCUAGAUCCUCGUGCUUUGUUGAGAUCGACCCCAAGAUCAAGGCCAUGGCUAGUUUUAUUUUGAGCGCGGCGACUUUAACCAGUGAAAUAUAACUUUCCCCAGUCACACUCGAGGGCAACGGGAAGCUCGAUCAAAUGAAGUGCAACAUGAAGUCCUUACUUGCGUGCAUCUAAUUUCGCCUCAAGUGGAGGAGACUAGUAUAGAAUCAUCCCUCUAGGCGAGAUCAUAGGAUCAACCCAAAAAUUUCAAAUUUAAACAAUCCAAAAAAUCCUGAAAAUAAUUUACAACAUACCUGCGGGUUAUGGCUAUAAUUCCAAAAAAAAUCAGCUUAAAACUCGAUUACAAUUAGAGAUUCGAAAAAGACAAAUUCAACUAUGAAUAGUGUCAGCUUUGAGUUAAUAGCUUUUGACAUUAUUCACGUCUGACUUUUUUUCUUUUUUGAUCCUUUAAAUGUAGUUUGAAUUAGGAGCUGAAACCUUUUGAGCUUGUACAUCAAAGAUGGAUGGGUGUCUCUUAUUUUUUUAAUAAUUUUUAACAUGUUCUGUAUCUUUAAAAGAUUGAUCUCACCUAAGGACAAAUCUUAUACUAAUCUUGCCUAAAUUAAGUCUGGAAAAUGUUUACCAUGCAUUGAUGACCAAGAUUAGUAUAUGGGGCUGUUCGGUUUGAGACUAAAUUUGCAUAAGGUUGCCACGUCUAAGGUUAGACAAGUUUAAUCAAGGUGUGUGUUUGGUUCAAGCCAUAUCUUAGUCAAACCACAUUAGGGUCCCACAUUACAUACACUCAAAAAGUGUGGCAAUAUUCUCUUAGCCUCGCCAACUUGUGGCUCUCAAUUGAGGGGCAGUUUCGUAACUUGAGAUAGAUAGAGAGAGAGAGAAGUGUGAGCUCUGAAGAAGAGCUGCAGAGCAGACAGACCAUCAGCGAGAGUCAAUGGGCACUUGUGUGAGCACAUGCUACCCCUCGUCCUCCCCUCCCACCGCCGGUGACGACCACCCAUUGUCCACGUCCGGCGGCUCUCCGACUCUGGGCGCCACCACUGUGCACCCGCUCCCGCUCGCUUCCGGUUCUCCCGCGCCCGCCGCUUCCUCCACAUCAACCUCCUCCUCCUUCUCCUCGAUAUCGGCCGCAAGCUCAUCCAUCUCCAUGGACAACACCACCACCACCACCUCCUCCUCCUCCUCGGCUACCACUAGUUAUUCCUCGCCGUCGUUGUCGUCGGAGCCCCGCUUCUCGGCCGAGUUCCUCAAGGCGCUUGCUUGCAGGGACACGGACGUGGAGAUGGAGGUCGUGGUGCUCGACCCCAACAUCAACAGCAACGUAAAGAAGAGGAAGAAGCUCUCCCCUGCCUCCGCCGCUCCGCGUCCGUCCUCGCCAAGAACGCCUCCAGCUCUGUCCGUGGUCAAGUCACCAAGGAAGAACAAGCCUGUCAUUGGCAACAUCAACGGCCGCCGCGCAAGCACAACUCCGACGACGGCAGCGAGGCGCGUGCGGCCGCUUCCCCCUCGGGUGCCGCCUGCGGGGGCAGGAGGCUCGGCGUCGGCGUCCUGCGGGAGGAAGAGGCCUUCUUCGCCUUCGUGCCGAUCGGCGGAUUCAGCUGGGAGGAGGAAGUGCGCCAGGCCAACGGCGGCCGGCGGCGGCGGUGGCGGAGAAUUGGUAGAUGACCUCAACACCCCCGUCAUAUCCAUGGAUUGCUUCAUCUUCCUCUGAUCCCAUCUCAUCUCGCACCAUGCAUCUACUAUGAUUGUGCUAAAUGUGUGUCCAUUCAUUUUGUUUUCCUUUCCUUUGGUGUGCUUUUUACAUGUACAUUAGUAGUAACAUGUCUUAUUGUGGUUUGCUGUCACCUAGAGUAUAUGUGUGUAAUUAAUUAGUAGAAUUGUUCUUCCUAUAUCUCUAAACAUGAUUGAUUGAUUGAUAAUGUUGUCUCCUCGUCUUUUUUCCAGUUCCAUUCUGCUCUCCCUGUCGGGAAAUGUUCUCUUCAAGCCAGACUUUACUAGUAGUUGCUCAUAGUCCAUCUAGAUUAUUUGAUUUGAUGCAGAAAAAGAACCCAAAAAUCGAGCUGGCUAUUGUAGAACAAGCAGGCAACUAACACCUGAGAGAUUUUCUUUAUGCAGAGAAACAAAAAGCAUAGCACAUGACAACUUGAUGCCAGAUAGAACUAAAAAAACAAACUGAUUAUUUGGACAAACAAUGAAAUCAAAUGUACUGUCAUCUCUUACUCACAUCAAUUUUGGAGAAACAAUGAAAGCAAAUGACUCCAGUUCAAAUUCAUGGACUUGUAUGAAAAAGGAUGUCAUAAACCGAUGACAACAACACAAGAUUAGCAAAAAUGAUGCUAGAACCACAAUGGUCAUCUUCGAUCACUUCGAUAAUUUUGUUGGAAACAACAUUCAACCAGCAUCCAUAGUGUUCCAUACAUUCAUCCAUAACAGAAAAUAGAAGCCUAACCAACAGACGUUGGAUGCAGCCACUUACUGCCGCAAUAGAGUUCGACAGAAAAAAAAAAUCGCAAUCAAAUUCAACAAAUAUAUUAGCUAUUUUGGCUGGUCAUGAGCUAGCGGCCGCCAAGAGUUCAUCCCGGCCUUUGCAUACUAGGAUGCACAUAGCCAAAAUGAGCAAUAAUUCAGCAUGUCGCUUCCGUGGACGACGACUCGACGAUCACCGUCAGCUUUUCAUCAUCCAAAUCAUGUUGCUUGCGCGGCGGCCGUUGAUGUUGCCAAUGCCAGGCUUGUUCUUCCUUGGUGACUUGCCCACGGACAGAGCUGGAGGCGUUCUUGGCGAGGACGGACGCGGAGCGGCGGAGGCAGGGGAGAGCUUCUUCCUCUUCUUUCCAUUGCUGCUGAUGUUGGGGUCGAGCACCACGACCUCCAUCUCCACGUCUGUGUCCUUGCAAGCGCGCGCCUUGAGGAACUCGGCCGAGAAGCGGGGCUCCGACGACAACGACGGCGAGGAAUAACUAGUGGUAGCCGAGGAGGAGGAGGUGGUGGUGGUGGUGUUGGCCAUGGAGAUGGAUGAGCUUGCGGCCGACAUCGAGGAGAAGGAGGAGGAGGAGGUUGAUGUGGAGGAAGCGGCGGGCGCGGGAGAACCGGAAGCGAGCGGGAGCGGAUGCACGGUGGUGGCGCCCGGAGUCGGAGAGCCGCCGGACGAGGACAAUGGGUGGUCGUCGCCGGCGGUGGGUGGGGAGGACGAGCAGGGGUAGCAUGUGCUCACACAAGUGCCCAUUGACUCUCGUUGAUGGUCUGUCUACUCUGCAGCUCUUCUUCAGAGCUCACACUUCUCUCUCUCUCUCUCUCUCUCUCUCUCUCUCUCUCAUUUCAUCACACAAGUGUCUCUUAGCCCGCGCUUCCCGAGGUCCAACUUUGACCAUAAAUUUAACCAACGAGACCAACUACGGCUGGAGAAAAAAUUAUAUAAUUGAAAACUUCUUUCGAAUACGAAUUCACUGAUAUAAUUUUUGCUCCCGGCGCAAUCGGUCUUGGUAGUUAAACUUAUGGUCAAAGUUGAAGCACGAGGAUAGAGGAAGCACUACAUUGUGGAAUGGAGGGAGUACUAAGUUGUACUAAAGUUUAGACAGUUAUUUUUGGACGAAGGGAGUAAUAUACAUCAGAGAUAACUUGACAUAUAUUUUGGAAUGCUUACCAACAAGGACAUAAAAGAUAACUUGCAUGAGACUUCUUGAUCUGCUUGCAGUGCAUCAUCAGCAUGAGCCAUAUCUGCAAGGUUCAUGACCAUAUUUUCAGCCAUCAACAUAUCCUGAUUAUUUGACAUUCCGUCCAUGCCUUCCAGGAUGUCCUCAGCAGCUCUCUUGGUCAAUAUGAGUGGGUGAUUACAUAUUUUCUUCAAUACCUGUUUAAGAGAAGGAAAAACAUGAAACAAGCAUAAAUGCACCAAAGAACGUGCACAAAAAGAAGAUAAAUUAAGGCGAUAAAAUUACAAUUGCUGCCUCCCAUACAAAAUAUAAUCCCUCCAUUUCAUUUUAUAUGGUGUAUUUUUGUUUAGUUCGGAGCCAAUGAAAAUGAUUAAUACUAAGAGAAAACUAUUGUCUUGGGAAUAACAAAGAAUAGUUAGUCAGUAUGCAAGUUUAAUAAUAAAUGAUGAAGAGAGUAUACGACGAGCACACCUGACGAGAACUAAAGGGCUACAUGUGAACAACAAGAUAACAAAAGGUAGAAAAAAAGGUGUACAGAAAAGGCUUUGAAGCUUAUGCUUACCAUGAGAGCAGCCAAGGGAUUUCCUUGAGAUGCUAAAUGAACUAGCUCAGAGUUCAGAAAUGCUUUAUAUAGUUGCCUCUGCGCCAAAAGACAGACAAAUUGCAAAAUCAUCAUUUGCCAAUUACUCGACCAGUUUUGCGUCAAUGACAUAAAAAAUUAUACCUGGCAAUCUGUUAAUUUCAGCCAGAUAAUUAGCUCAUUCUUCUUCGGAAGCUGUUUAUCAUCUGUCAAACCAGUCUCAAGAGACACUUCAUUUUUCAUACGUCGCAAGAAAUAUGGCUUUAUACGUUCCCUUAAUUCCUGUGAACAAAGUCAAGUAUGAACAAACAAUAUAAUUUGUUUAGUUCAUUUGGCUCCAAGUUUUCAUCCGAAAGGAUGAGUAAACAUUUCCACAAUGUAAUGCGACAAAUUUAGACGGCUUAAUCUAUCUUGCUUGCCCUCUCAUGGGUCAACUAGAAGUGGACAUGCGCUUAUAUGAAAUUUGAAUGCAGUUCAGUUAUGCAACUGCUUUCACAUGUCAAAUCAGGUGAAAUUACUACUUAGCUAAUGUAUGGAUGAAAAUGUAAUUUCUCAACAGAAUCAUAAUGACAAGAAGUAAUGCCAUUGCACAUAUUGCAAUAUAUCAAACAUGAUGACUGUUUACAGCACAGAGACACUAACUUGCUCACCACAAUAACAACAACAAAUAGGUUGGAUAUUACAUAUCUCUUGGACACAAACGCAGAAAAAAGAAAGGUACCUUUGCUACAUUUGAGCCUACAUGCUUGGCUCGGUUGCUAGCAGUCUUGUCAUUUCCUCGAUUGAUAGGCAAUUCAUACAAUGUUCUGAACCUGCCAAAAUGUAGACAGAUAAAUAAGUUAAAUAACACCAGAUGGUGCAAAGCAAGGCAGUAUCACUAAUGCAGGAAAAUAGGAGAGUGGGCAAAUUACUCUUGCUUAUCACCCAAGACUUCCGGGCAACAAAAAGAGAACAGAGCCCACAUUUCCUGCAAGAGUACGCAUGCUUAUUUGCAUUGGUAAUAGGAGGACAACAUAUAUAGGAGCAUGUAAAGUACAAGUUCUUUAGGAAUUUCAGCUAGGUGGUACCUUCAAGUUAUUUUGUAUAGGCGUUCCACUGAUGGCAAUCCGAUGGACACAAGGUAUUUCAAAUAGGCUUUGGGCUCUUUGUGUCUUGGGGUUCUUGAUAAAAUGUGCCUCGUCAAGAACAACAUAAUUCCAAAUCUUCCCCUCUUCCUCGUCAUCAGCAUCAUUAUAGAAGUCUCCUAUUAUCAGCCUAUAGUUGAUCCGGGCAAUAUCAUACGUUGUCAACAGGAUACCCCCUUCCUGUAAGAAGACAGUAAAUAGCUGAUGUAACUCAUAAAAUAUCUUGAAAGAACAAGCUAUUAGCUAUGUAUUCCUUUAAAUGAAGCUUUUUAUGCGAAAAUGUUUCUCUGUUUGAAAUUGACGGUUCGGAUAAUAAGGCGACCAUAUGAUUGACCAGCAGGGGACAAUUAUGCUGGAAAACUAAAUCAAACCAAACCUUGAAGGCAUGUUCAAGCUCAAAGUCACGGGCAUCUAGGUUGGAAUCAGAGUAGCUGUAAAAAAAGAAGAAGGAACUAAUAAUAUACUGUCCAAUCUUUGGGAAAUAUGUGAUAGCUCCCGGGACUCCCGACACCCUCUUAUCAGGCCCGUCGAGUUCUGUUGAGAUUCGUGCUUCAGUCUGACCAUCAGCAGACGAUUUGCAGAAUAAGCAAGCUGUGGCAGCAGACUCAUUUAGCAGCGGUGCGGGUGCGUGCUAGCCUGCUAGGAUACAGGGAGCUGUAGGUACAGGUACUAGCUAGCUUUUUCUAGGGAUACAGGCCCAGGUACCUACUUCUGACCAGCCUAUUUUCUAAUGAGAGAAAGAGGUGACGAGUCUAUUUCGAAUGACAGCUCGUUCAGAUGAGGCUUAUCCUGUACGCCUGGUUCUGUAAGAUUUGAGAAAAGUCACACCGGCUUAGAAUUUACAGUUAGAGAACAAGACCAAUUUAUCCCUCGUAAAAGAAAAGAGAAUUGAUUGGACGUGUGGGAUAGGUGAUCCAGAAAAAUGAAUCCAUCAAAUUCAGACUGAUCCCAAACGGAGAGGACCGCUUCGAGCUUCAUGAUCAUGAGAGACUCUGACCUGUGAGGUCCUUUCGCUUAUUUGAAUCACGGGCUAUGGCCAGGAAGUGACAGGUCCUGGUGGCUGGUGGAAUCUGCCUAUAAACAACAGUGCCCUAGCUAGGAGUCCCAUCUCUAGCCGAUGGAAUCUGCCUGCAAUCAAUAAUUCCAGGCUCCCCGCUUAACGAUUUUCUAGGCCCGCUAAUCAAACUGUGGUACAUGCAAUGGUGCAGAUCUCAACGAGCUGGGCUUUGCAUGAUGGUCGCGAUAGCAGGGUACCGGGGCACCCAGGUGCUGAACAUCCAUUCUCUCCAAUCUUUCUAUAUAUGCUUAAAAGUUAGGCAAUCUAGAUGAGAACAUAGGAAGCUGUGGAGCAUUACAGUACCAUUCCAAGUUAAAAUAUAUCCUUGUGUCAGAUGACAUAUACUAAUUGGUUUCAGUCCCUUAAAUGCAGAAACUAAAGAUGCAGCUCUUUUCAGAGUAAUUUCUGCAGUCUAACUAGCAGCAGCAAAUAUCCACAAGAAUCUUCUAAUCUAAUAGUAAGAGAGCCAUAAGCGAUUGAAACAAGUAGGGCAAAGGCUCCCCUGAUCCUUCCUAACACUAAGCAGGAGUACAAUUAAGGGUGAAACAGAGCCAAUGAUGGUGAGAUUGAUACAAGUUAUAAUCGACUAAUUAACUGAUAAUUGCUUCAAGGAGGAAAAUGUAUCAAUGUCAAAGGGUUAGAGGGAGGGACCUGCAUCGUCUUGCCAAGUCCCAUGUCGUCCCCCAGGAUUCCACCGGUUUCCCUGCAAUGCAGAGACCAGAGCCAGCUGAGCCCCUCACGCUGGUCGGCGUACAACAUCUUGAACACCCUUGCAGGGAGCCUGUACGGCGGCUUGCCGCUCCCGGCGGGGGCCUCCAUCUGGAAGUCAUCCUCCUCCUACUCCUCUAUGUCAGUGUCGUGCUGGUCUUCCUCCUCCUCCUCCUCCCACUCCUCCAUGUCAGUGUCGUGGUGGUCUUCCUCCUCCUCCGCCUCCUCCCACUCCUCCGUGUCGGUGCCGCGGUGGUCUUCCUCCUCCUGGUCCGUUGCGUCCUUGUCGUCUCCGCAGUCCAGAAAUACCCCGCUGGGCUCCUCCGUCUCCCAGCUGGCAGCGUCGGGCUGGUCGUCGUCGUCCCCGGAGAUGUCGCCGAGCUUGCACAGGCACCAGCGGCCCGGCAGCCUCACCUUCCUCGUGCCCAUCUGCUCAGGGCCUGCGUGCACGGAAGGCGGCCGAGUUAUCAGGCACCGAUGGAUGGAUGAAUGGAUGAAACGAUCGACCCGGCGGGCCGCGCAACGAUCGAUUGACAGGUAGUAGUUCGACGGCGACGUACGGUACCUGCUGGGUCGUGGAGGUCGUCGUCCAAAGGAUGGUCCGAGCACGGCGAGGGCGGCGCCGGCGCCAUGGGCGGUGUUGAUGGGGUCGGUUACGUUGCGUCUCUCCUUUCCGCGCUGCGCUGGAGGCGUUGAGGAAGGGGGAGGGGGGAAGGCGGUGCGAGGAGUGAGUUUCGUGAGACGGCGUGAGGCCUGCCGAGCCAAUAUGAAGAGGAGAGGGGAGGAGAGGAAGAGGAGCGCUGGGGACGGGAGGAAGUUAACGGAAGGAAGACGGAAGUUCGAAUCUUGAAUUUCAAAAUUCCCUCCUCUCCUCUCCUUCUCACGCAAGCCAAGCUGCGGCCGUGGCAAUGCCAGUGUGCCAGACUGCCAGCCUUGGGAACGAACGACGAUGCCUCUCCUCCCGUUACGUCCUGUCCCGUCAGGAGUGGCUUCAACGGAUUUGUUUGACUAGCUAGCUACUAGAAGGAGUAGUCUUGUGCAGUAACUACUCCUGCUGCGCAAAAGGAAAAUAUUUUUUAGAUUUUUAUUUUUGAGAGGAAAAUAUUUUUUUAGAUUGGAAAGUGUACAAAAAGUCAGCAAAGAUAUCAUGCAUGCAGACCUAGAUGCUAUUUAUCACCUCAAAGGGUUUCAAAAAGUAAUUUCGGGAUCCGCGUGAUGUACGAAAACUGCAAACAGAAGGGGUCCAAAAGGCAAAUUCAAAUUUGUAGAAACGUGGUCAAACAUUAUGAGUUUCAACAAACCUGUAGGUAUUAUAGGUGUGAUUAUACAUGUCCAAGAGUGAAGACCCGCCCCUUGUGGCAACUCGCCUCGGUGUCGUUCUUCCCCCUUGACCGAGCCCUUCUUCUCACGCUUCGGCUAAUCCACCCUCCCUCCCCUCCCUAUCUUCAGUGGACGAUGAUGAGCAGGAGGGCGGCCCAAAUCAUGUGCUAUAUGUACACUAUCAGGGUUCCUUUUCUUUUGAAUAAAUGUUUAUUAUUCAUGCUAGAAUUGUAUUAACCGGAAACAUAAUACAUGUGUGAAUACAUAGACAAACAAAAUAUUUUCCUCUACUUGACUAGCUCGUUGAUCAAAGAUGGUUAUGUUUUCUAACCAUGGACAUGAGUUGUCAUUUGAUAAACGGGAUCACAUCAUUAGGAGAAUGAUGUGAUUGACUUGACCCAUUCCGUUAGCUUAGCACUUGAUCAUUUUAGUUUACUGCUAUUGCUUUCUUCAUGACUUAUACAUGUUCCUAUGACUAUGAGAUUAUGCAACUCCCGAUUACCGGAGGAACACUUUGUGUGCUACCAAACAUCACAACGUAACUAGGUGAUUAUAAAUGUGCUCUACAGGUGUCUCCGAUGGUACUUGUUGAGUUGGCAUAGAUCGAGAUUAGGAUUUGUCACUCCGAUUGUCGGAGAGGUAUCUCUGGGCCCUCUCGGUAAUGCACAUCACUAUAAGCCUUGCAAGUAACGCAACUAAUGAGUUAGUUGCGGGAUAGUGCAUUACGGAACAAGCAAGAGACUUGCCGGUAACAAGAUUGAACUAGGUAUUGAGAUACCACGAUCGAAUCUCGGGCAAGUAACAUACCGAUGACAAAGGGAACAACGUAUGUUGUUAUGCGGUUUGACCGAUAAAGAUCUUCAUAGAAUAUGUAGGAGCCAAUAUGAACAUCCAGGUUCCGCUAUUGGUUAUUGACUGGAGACGUGUCUCGGUCAUGUCUACAUAGUUCUCGAACCCGUAGGGUCCGCACACUUGACGUUCAGUGACGAUCGGUAUUAUGAGUUUAUGUGAUUUGAUGUACCGAAGAUAGUUAGGAGUCCCGGAUGAGAUCGGGGACAUGACGAGGAGUCUCGAAAUGGUCGGGACGUAAAGAUCGAUAUAUUGGACGACUAUAUUCGGACAUCGGAAAGGUUCCGAAUGAUUCAAGUAUUUUUCGGAGUACCGAGGAGUUACGGGAAUACGGGGAAGAAGUAUUGGGCCUCAUGGGCCAAGUGGUGGAAGAGAGGAGGCAGGGCGCGCGGCCCCCCUAGCCCAAACCGAAUUGGACUAGGGGGUUGGCCCCCUUUCCUCCUUUCCUCCCUCUCCUUCCUUCACCCCUUCCCCCUUCCUUUCCUCCUCCUAGUAGGAGUAGGAAAGGGGAGUCCUACUCCUACUAGGAGGAGGACUCCUCCUGGCGCGCCCUACAGGGGUCGGCCGGCCUCCCCCUUGCUCCUUUAUAUACGGGGGCAGGAGGGCACGCUAGGACACACAAGUUGAUCAUUGAUCCCUUAGCCGUGUACGGUGUCCCCCUCCACAAGAAUCCACCUCGAUCAUAUCGUAGCAGUGCUUAGGUGAAGCCCUGCGUCGGUAGCAACAUCAUCACCGUCAUCACGCCGUCAUGCUGACGGAACUCUCCCGUGAAGCUCUGCUGGAUCGGAGUUCGUGGGACGUUAUCGAGCUGAACGUGUGCUGAACUCGGAGGUGUCGUGCGUUCGGUACUUGGAUCGGUCGGGUCGUGAAGACGUUCGAAUACAGCAACCGCAUUCUCAUAACGCUUCCGCUUACGGUCUACGAGGGUACGUGGACGAUACUCUUCCCUCUCAUUGCUAUGCAUCACCAUGAUCUUGCAUGUGCGUAGGAUUUUUUUUUGAAAUUACUACCUUCCCCAACAGGUCCGUCAUGCAAAAGUCAGGGGCUAGGGUAAUUUUAUGUUUCUGCUGGAAAAUAUAACUGCUCUCUAUUUUAAUAUAAUAGUGUUGGUUCCUUGAAGGCCCUUCUAGUGUUCAAAAACAUAUUUGCACUUUUUUGCGGAAAUAAUUCUUGUAUUACUUAAUCAAAGUACAAUCACGCUUAACAGCGUCUAAAAUGACCUCUGGUCCCGACCCAAGCCAUACAGCAGUUCGGCCUUGAGUCCUCCUAAAGUUUGCCAAAACAUGACUAGAGGAAUUACAACCACGACGGAUGUGAGUAAUACAAGAACUACGAUUCAGACAUGUUUUCUUUUAUCUCUCUAACAAGAAAUGUGUAUCUUGAUCUAUUUGUGUCUCCAUCUUCAACAUAUUAACAGCCUCCAAAUUGUCACUUUCAAUGUCAAUUGGUAGAUUGCUCCACUAUAGGGCUAGCAUGAGUCCCUCCCGGAUAGCUAAAAUCUCAGCCUCCAACACAUCAUUACAUGAAAAAAGGUGCCUACAGGAGCUGAAAAUAAUACCACCGGAGUGGUCAUGAAGUAUCAUACCUGUACCACCAAACCCAUCCAAUAUGGAGCCAUCUGUAUUUAGUUUAACACGUCCAGCAACAGGAGGUGACCAAGGGACAGGGGUAGUAGUAUUAUCGGAUGUGCGUAUUACCAGUGGGUAGCAGAAUUGAACUGGGGAUUUUCCCUUAAUAUGAUCAUCAUUUGGGCAUGUUGCAACAGACUGUAAGGAGGAUAGAUAGCUGGAUAGAAACCUGACAGAGACAUCCACAGGGGGCGGACUUUGAGUGCACUAUCUCAUUUCGAACAUACCAGAUUCUCCAGAAGAGCAUAAGAAGUCGAACCCUUGUUGAUUCAUCUAACUCACAAAGCAGCUGAAUAAACCAAUCUGGACCAGUGGGCUUGAUCGAUACAACAUCAGGUAAAGUCCAUUCUGAAGCCAUUGCCCGCCAUAGUGUUCUUGCAUUUAUACAACUACAGAAUGUAUGGAAGGAGUCUUCCUCACAUGCGCUGCAUAUAGGACAUAAGGCACUGGGUUAAAACUUCCGUUUGUUUUUGUUGCACCACGUAGCAAGGGAAUUAUUUGCUAGGCGCCAACCGAAGCUCAAUACCUUUGGCGGUGCACUGCAAGACCAUAGGGCCUUCCAACCGUCACGUCGGUCGUCCGGGUGGUGGCUUGAGGAGGUCACGGGCCCAUUAUGAAGAUCAUCCGAAGCCAAACGGUACGCACUUCUCACACUGAAUACACCCGAUUUUUCUUGGGCCCAUGUUAUGUGCUACCUCUUGAGCACUCCGUUGGAUUUCCAUGAAGAGAAAAUGAUGAUGCAGCAAAGUAGCAUAAGUAUUUCCUCAGUUUUCGAGAACCAAGGUAUCAAUCUAGUAGGAGGUUGCGCGCGUGUCCCUAGUACCUGCACAAAACAAAUAACUCCUCGCAACCAACGCGAUAAGGGGUUGUCGAUCCCUUCACGGUCACUUACGAGAGUGAGAUCUGAUAGAUAUGAUAAGAUAAUAUUUUUGGUAUUUUUGUGAUAAAGAUGUAAAGUAAAAUAAAAGCAAAGUAAAAAGGCAAAGGAAAUAACUAAGUAUUGGAAGAUUAAUAUGAUGAAGAUAGACCCGGGGGCCAUAGGUUUCACUAGUGGCUUCUCUCAAGAGCAUAAGUAUUUUACGGUGGGUGAAUGAAUUACUAUUGAGCAAUUGACAGAAUUGAGCAUAGUUAUGAGAAUAUCUAGGUAUGAUCAUGUAUAUAGGCAUCAUGUCCGAAACAAGUAGACCGACUCCUGCCUACAUCUACUACUAUUACUCCACUCAUCGACCGCUAUCCAGCAUGCAUCUAGAGUAUUAAGUUCAUGAAAACAGAGUAACGCCUUAAGUAAGAUGACAUGAUGUAGAGGGAUAGAUUCAUGCAAUAUGAUAAAAAACCCAUCUUGUUAUCCUCGAUGGCAACAAUACAAUACGUGCCUUGCUGCCCCUACUGUCACUGGGAAAGGACACCGCAAGAUUGAACCCAAAGCUAAGCACUUCUCCCAUUGCAAGAAAGAUCAAUCUAGUAGGCCAAACCAAACUGAUAAUUCGAAGAGACUUGCAAAUAUAACCAAUCACACAUAAAAUAAUUCAGAGAAGAUUCAAAUAUUGUUCAUAGAUAGUCUUGAUCAUAAACCCACAAUUCAUCGUCUCAACAAACACACCGCAAAAAGAAGAUUACAUCGAAUAGAUCUCCACAAGAGAGGGGGAGAACAUUGUAUUGAGAUCCAAAAAGAGAGAAGAAGCCAUCUAGCUAAUAACUAUGGACCCGAAGGUCUGAGGUAAACUACUCACACUUCAUCGGAGAGGCUAUGGUGUUGAUGUAGAAGCCCUCCGUGAUGGAUUCCCCCUCCGGCGGAGCUUCGGAAUAGGCCCCAAGAUGGGAUCUCAUGGAUACAGAAAGUUACGACGGUGGAAUUAGGGUUUUGGCUCCGUAUCUGAUCGUUUGGGGGUACAUAGGUAUAUAUAGGAGGAAGGAGUACAUCAGUGGAGCAACAGGGGGCCCACGAGGGUGGAGGGCGCGCCUGGGGGGGUAGGCGCGCCCCCUACCUCGUAGCCUCCUCUGUUUCUUGACGUAGGGUCCAAGUCUCCUGGAUCUUGUUCGGUGAGAAAAUCACGUUCCCGAAGGUUUCAUUCCGUUUGGACUCCGUUUGAUAUUCCUUUUCUUCGAAAACCCUAAAAUAGGCAAAAAACAACAAUUCUGGGCUAGGCCACCGGUUAAUAGGUUAGUCCCAAAAAUAAUAUAAAAGUGGAUAAUAAAGCCCAAUAAUGUCCAAAACAGUAGAUAAUAUAGCAUGGAUCAAUCAAAAUUAUAGAUACGUUGGAGACGUAUCACUAUGAAGUCCUCGCCAAGACAGUGAGAGGGGCGAAUUUUCUGGAUCUCACAAAUGUCGAUUGGGAGAAAGAAUUGCUGGAGUUUAGAGUUAUCCCAAUUUCCAUUGUGGUCCAUAAGCUCGGAAACCCAUUUAAAUCUACAAUGUCCUUUGGGCGAUAUGAGUCCACCAGUAGGAUCCCUUACAAUCCAUCUAUCACGCCAAAUUCUAACAUUUUCGCCAUUUGCGAUCCUCCACACGAUCCCUUUCUUUAGCAGUUCAAGGCCAUGACAUAUUGCCUGCCAAGUAGGAGACGGGUUACCCGUAAAAACAGUAUCUUCCAACCUCCCAUUUGGAUAAUAUCUUGCUUUCAGUAGCCUGACACAGAGAUUGUCGGGGCAAGUUAGGAGACGCCACGCUUGGCGUGCUAACAAAGCUUGAUUAAAUAAUCUAAAAUCUUUGAAGCCCAAACCUCCUUGGCACUUUGGCCUAGUCAUUUUGUCCCAUGCAUACCAAUGCGUCUUAUGCUUUCCUUUCUCUGCACCCCAAAAAUAGUUCCUGACCAUGCAGUUAAGAUCAUCACAAACCUCGAAAGGUAGCUUUAAGACACUCAUUAAAUAAUUGGGGAUUGACUAUGCAACGGCUUUGAUUAGCACCUCCUUGCCAGCCUGAGUUGGGUGGCCAUCAAAAUAAAAUAGACGCUUUGUAAGUUUAACUUGGAGGUUCUGGAAUUUACCCUUGGACAUUCUCCCAUCCGGGGUCAGCAGUCCAAGGUACUUCUCCUCAAAACCAACAGUUUGGACAUCAAUAGCAAGCUUAACCGAAUCCACAGUGAUCUUAGGGCAGGAGUUACCAAAUAAAACAAAGCACUUUGCAGGGUUAAUAUGUUGACCUGUGGCAUGUCCAUAAACUUCCAGCAUAUUUUUAACCCGGUUGGCUUGUUGGUCACAAGCUUUGAAAAAGAGCAAAGUAUUGUCUGCAAAUAACAAGUGAGAGAUGCCUGGGGCCCUUCUUGUGAUUUUCAAAGGAGAGAUGUCGCCCACUUCAAUUCCUUUACUUAUCAGAGCAGACAAACCAUCAACAACAAGCAGAAACAAAUAUGAGGAUAGUGGAUCACCUUGCCGAAGACCAUGUGUCGGUGCAAAAGAAUCCAAGAUGGCGCCAUUGAAUUUCAUGGAGUAUCUCAUAGAGGUCACACAAGUCAUUAUCCAGUCGACCCAUUUGCGAGCGAAGCCAAGCUUUUGCAUCAUUUGCCUAAGGUAUGUCCAAUCAACCCGAUCAUAAGCUUUUGAGAGAUCAAGCUUGUAAGCACAGAAACUCCUAGUCGGGUUGUCGGUGUCAAAACUGGCGGAUCUCGGGUAGGGGGUCCCGAACUGUGCGUCUAGGCCGGAUGGUAACAGGAGGCAGGGGGAACGAUGUUUUACCCAGGUUCGGGCCCUCUUGAUGGAGGUAAAACCCUACGUCCUGCUUGAUUAAUAUUUAUGAUAUGGGUAGUACAAGAGUAGAUCUACCAUGAGAUCAGAGAGGCUAAACCCUAGAAGCUAGCCUAUGGUAUGAUUGUAUGUUAUGGUUGUUGUCUACGGACUAAAACCCUUCGGUUUAUAUAGACACCGGAGAGGGUUAGGGUUACACAAGGUUGGUUACAAAGGAGGAGAUAUCCAUAUCCGUACUGCCUAGCAUGCCUUCCUCGCCAAGUAGAGUCCCAUCCGGACACGAGACGAAGUUUUCAAUCUUGUAUCUUCAUAGUCUAAUAGUCCGGCCAAUGAAGAUAGUCCGGCUGUCCGAAGACCCCCUAAUCCAGGACUCCCUCAGUAGCCCCUGAACCAGGCUUCAAUUACGAUGAGUCCGACAUGCAGUAUUGUCUUCAGCAUUGCAAGGCGGGUUCCUUCUCCGAAUACACCGCAGACGAAUUUGAAUACGAGGAUAGUGUCCGACCUUGCAAAAUAAGUUCCACAUUCCACCAUAGAGAGAAUAAUAUUUUCGCAGAUCUAAUUUGCUGGCUUGUUUUGGCAGCAUGAUGUCACGUCAUGGCCCGGUGACUAUUCGAACCGUUUCUUUUAACCAGCCCCGCACAUAACGCGAGGCAGUUUUUCGACACGUCUUGUCAAAGCAGAGAUCGUGUCCCCUUAUUACGGGAUUCUCAUCAAUACGGGCAUGGGUAACCCAACCAUGCCAUCAAUUGCGGCGCUUGGGGGAUAGGCGAGUUUUACCAGGCAAGUGGGAACGCUUAGUUUCGUCCGCCCAUAUAAAGGGAUAAGGAUUCACCUUUCUAUCCACGCCUUCUUCCUCCUUUGCUCAUCCGUUCUCGCACACUCAAGCUCUAGCGCCCAAGUCCGGACUUCCCACCUUGACCUUCUCCAGUCAUGUCCAGAGCGGGAGGCAAGUGGAUGGUCUGCUCCGUCACGGAGGGAGACAUCAAGAAACUGAGGAGAGCCGGAUACCUGCCCGACAACAUCGCGCACCGGCUCCCAGAUGAGGGGCAGCUCAUCCCCACCCCCAGGCCCCAUGAGAGGGUAGUAUUCCUCACCCAUUUCCUCCGUGGACUGGGGUUCCCUCUCCAUCCCUUCGUCCGGGGGCUCAUGUUUUAUUAUGGCCUGGAUUUCCACGAUCUGGCCCCGAACUUCAUCCUCAACAUCUCGACGUUUAUCAUCGUGUGCGAGGCCUUCCUCCGCAUCAAGCCUCACUUCGGCUUAUGGCUGAAGACCUUCAAUGUCAAGCCGAAGGUGGUGGGUGGCCGCCAGGCGGAGUGCGGAGGCGCCAUGGUGGGCAAGAUGCCCAACAUAACAUGGCUCGAGGGCUCCUUUGUGGAAACCAUAAAGGGGUGGCAAUCGGGGUGGUUCUAUAUCACCGAGCCGCGCGACCCCGCAUGGGUAGCGGCCCCCGAGUUCGGAUCUGGCAUCCCCAUGCGGCUCACCUCCUGGAAAGAGAAGGGCCUGUCCUGGGGUAAUUCGAAAGAGCUGACCGGACUCCAAACAUGUAUUCAAAACAUGGUGGACAAGAAGCUCAAGCUUGUCAACAUAGUCCAAGUUAUGCUCAUCCGUCGGAUACUCCCGUGCCAACAACGGGAGUUUAACUUGUGGGAGUUCAAUCCGGCGCAGCACCGAACUCUGAACAUGCUCUUUGACACGACUCAUGAAGACGCCUGGAGGGUGCUGUUCAAAAGUGCCGAGGUCCCUCCCCCUAUUACUGAGGAUCGCGGAUUCAGCGCGAAGUGCCAAGCUAGUGCGGUAAGCUGUUUUACCUUUCAUAGGAUAAUUAUUUUUUAUAUAGAUUGUCUCUAUGCGGGAUCUAAACUCCCGUACCUUUGACAGGACUGGCAGAAGAUGGCCGGACAGAUCGACUGUCCGGCUCCCUUGCCCAAAGGCCCCGCACAUGCUCUUCUGGCAAAGAUGCUGACUCCGGCCCCUUAUAAGGUGUCGGAGAAGACCAAGAAGGCCAAGGGAACCCAAAAGAGUUCCCGACGCCAGGCGUCGUCGGACUCACUGUCCGAUGAUUCUGCGGCACACUCUUCCCCUAAAGACAAGGAAAAGGAAGAAGAAGAUGCUCCCCCACCGACUGGGGGAGACAAGAAAAGGAAGGCCGCCCCAACUGGGGAGGCCGGAGGGUCCAAGAAGGGAAGGACUCUCCUUCCGGAUAGUUCCACCGCCGCCGACGAAGGCGAAGGCGAGUGGUUGCCCAGGGUCAAGUCCUCGGGGAGAUCAUAAGUAUUCGGAUACCAGAGUAACUCCUAGGAUUCCUUUGUCGCACUGCUUUCUCUAACGCCGAACGCAAUUAUGCCGGCCGCCACGAGCCAGUAUCGAUGUAUCAUCGGACGGCUCCUUGGGCUUGUCGGACAUGGAUAGCGAUCCAGUCCCGACCGCCACCUCCUCUCAUCCUGCCGACGACGCCGAGGUGCUGUCUCAAGAGGCACCGGAUCAAGGGGAGACAGUCCUGGAGGCGCCUCAAGGUGACCUACCGGACUCAGGGAGCCGCGGGGACGGGGCCCCCGAGAGCUCCGAGUUCGGCCCUCAGCCGAACACCGUGCCAGACCCUCCAGCGAUUUCGGGCUCGGGCAGGCGGUCUCCUUCUAAGAGGGGCAAGAUGCCUAUGCCGGUGACCUCUGUCCAUCCAGAGGCACCGGACAAUCUGCUGGAAGCGCUUCGCAGCGCUUCCAUCGACGAGGAGCAUCGCACUAUCAUGAGUGCGGUGAUCCAGAAGGUUCAGUUUGCCAAGAGCGGAUUGACGGAAGCCUGUGCCAGCCUUCUAACAGGCUUUGAGGUAAGUGUUUUAAAAUGUAGUAGAAAUAUUACCGCAUAGACAGUAGCCCCUGAUGCUUUGUUCGGUGUUCAUAAAGAAAAGCCGAACAGAGGAUCAAAUAAUAUCGCAGGAGUCUAAUAUAAGUAUGUCAAUAUGCAUAUGCAGGCUUCGCUGCUGGCGUCCGCCGCACUAACUGCGGAGGUCGCCGUACUGAAGCAGGACCUCGAGGGGUCCAAGAAAGAGCUCGGCCUGGCCAAGAGGCAGCUCGAGGAGAACAAGGGAAGUAAUACCCCGUCUAUAGAUAUGUAUAUAUAAAAAGGGACGCGAUUGCAAAAUGAUAGGAUCAUUGUAUGUCUGCCAAGGGCCACGACCGAGGUGGCGACCCUGAAGCAAGCGCUGGCCAAGGCCGAAGAUACAGCGGCCAAGGAGCGCACCGAGCGAGAGAAGCACGAGGCCUGGGUGGGCGAGGUGCAGCAAGAGCUCCAGGCUCUUGUGGCGAAGCAUGAGGCGUUGGAGCUUGACUCCAAGACGCGGGAGUCUGAGCUUGCCGCGGCCCUCGAGAGUGUAAAAGGUGCCAAGGCUGAAGCCCAAAAGGCCCUCCAAGAGAUCGACGCAAUGAAGAAGAUAGCUACGGGUAAGGCUUUCUAUAUGCAAAGCGAGCAUGUAAAAGUAAAUUACCGAUUACUUACCCGGAUCUGGAGCUCUUCAGGAGCAUUCGCAGAUUUGCCCCGCAGUGUGUCUGAUGCCGCAUAAUUUUACCAGGCCGAGGACGGGAGCUCGACGGAGAAGCUGUUCUAGUCUCAGUAUGCUGAGGCCGAACAUCUGGUGCCAAUGAGCGACCAGCUGAAGCAGAUGGUCGAGCUACAUAAGGCGGCCGAUCAGGCCAUGAAGAGCUUUAUAGUCCGGUUGUGGCCUGGCGACGCCCUUCCGAAUAGCUUCUUCGGCCUGGUGAUGCGGCUCGUGGGUGUCUGCCCACGGCUGGAGGUCGUCAAGCGAUCUGUCUGCAUUGAAGGUGCACGCCGGGCUUUCACCCGUGUGAAAUUGCAGUGGGUCAAGCUAGAUGCUGUGAAGCUGAUCAAGGAGGGGCUGCCAGAGAGCAAGGAGCACCGCCACCCCGAGAUGUACUACGAGGGUGUUCUGUCGGGCGCCCGUCUCAUCACUGACGAGUGUUCGAAAGAUGUAAUAUUUGAAUGAGACUCGCUCGUUUUAUCAUGUAUGUAUGAAAACUUGUUUCAUAUGCGCUAUGCAACGCUUGUUGGAAUUUAAAAUAUUACCUUCUGUUUGGCUAUUUAUCCAAUCUGAGAGAUGGCUAGUCCUCGGCUUCUGCCCCCAUGCCACGGGUACUGGGGUGUUCGGGAUAAACCUUAGCACUCUUGUUCCCAUGUUUGGGUCCUUCGAGGGAGGUGCUCAGCACAACGAACAAGGCAACCAGACUAAUAAUGCUUUAUCACUCUCAUUUAGCCAUAGAAUUCUAUAAUUUUAACUUUUGGCGAAGCCCCUGGUAUUCGGAAGGCCGAAUUCGGGGCGCGAUACACGCUUGUAAGCCGGACAGGGCCGGCCCCUCGCCCUAAGCGGCAUAAGUCUUUAGGGACUCGAAAAACCUCGCCGAACAGCGACCAGUCUCUCGCCUUAUCAUGACAGUCAGUUUUAGCUUUCUCUAAAGAGGUGCACAACCCAGCAGAACCGGGGCACAAUCGCAGUAGUUCUCCUAGCGCUACCUUAGCCGAUAGAGCAGAACGUAAGGUACCAAAACAUAGGAGCCGGGCAAACCCAACAUUUGACCAAAGACAUGAUUCGGAGCUGAUGCAUAUAAUGCUAUAAGUUUGGGGUGCCGCACUUGUGAAAGUGUUCGGACUUUUCACACCGCAUUGUGGGGUACGUAAGCCCUUGGUGUAUUGGCCGUACCAGAAUGUACGGUUGCAAGGCAUCAUUAAUGAACACACACACACACACACACACAUAUAUAUAUAUAUAACAAGAAUGCAAUAAUAGUCGUAAUGUCAUGCAUUGUUUAUUGAAAAAUUGUGUUAAAGCAGAGUGAUACAGAUAGUGCGAUAAGCAAAGAGUAGGACUAUGUCCCUUCCAAGGGCGAACUAAGGAAUGAUAUGAAAUCUGUAAUCAACCUGGGAAUUUCGUUGUAUAACAUAGCUGUCUGCCUCCUUGGUUGCUGCAUCAUGUGUUCGGCAAUAGUGCUGCCGGACAGUGUUUCCAGAGAUUAAGGUCCUGAAAGAAAAAGAAAAAGAACCAAACGGGAAGCCCCUAGUGCGGUUUAGGCCGCGUUUUGGGGCGUGUCGCAGUUGUGCCCCCUCCCCACCUGUGCCCAUGGUAUUUUUAAUGUGUAAUUAUGUACGCGCGGCACGAAUAUCGCCGUUGGGCUGGGAUUGGGGUGGCCGCCGUAUUGCUACGCGAGCUCAGAUCGCGCCAGGCGGUCUAUUUGCCGAUUGCCCCAAGCGCGCUUGAAGGUGUCCGGGCUUUGAAAUGCCGAACUGGUUGAUUGCCUUGAGAGGCUGCUUUGCGCUUCUGCUGCGAGGGCCGCGGUGUGCUCCUCUGUUCGGAGAGAGCGCUCUGUGUUUCCAUUGACUAUAAUAACUCCGCGAGGUCCUGGCAUCGUGAGCUUGAUGUAUGCAUAAUGCGGUACCGCAUUAAAUCUAGCAAAUGCGGUUCACCUGAGCAGCGCGUGAUAACCACUGUGGAACGGGACUAUAUCGAAGAUUAACUCUUCGCUUCGGAAGUUAUCCGGGGAUCCGAAGACCACUUCCAGUGUAAUUCAGCCUGUGCAAUGGGCCUCUACGCCUGGAAUGACGCCCUUAAAGGUCGUUUUUGUGGGUUUGAUCCUUGAGGGGUCUAUACCCAUUUUGCGCACUGUGUCCUCAUAAAGCAGGUUCAGGCUGCUGCCGCCGUCCAUAAGGACUCGAGUGAGGUGAAAUCCGUCGAUGAUUGUGUCUAGGACCAGUGCGGCGAAUCCGCCAUGACGGAUACUAGUGGGGUGGUCCCUGCGAUCGAAGGUGAUCGGACAGGAGGACCAAGGGUUUAACUUUGGGGCGACUGGCUCCAACGCAUAUACGUCCCUGAGCGCAUGCUUCCGCUCCCUCUUGGGGAUGUGGGUUGCGUAUAUCAUGUUCACCGUCCGCACUUGCGGGGGAAACCUCUUCUGUCCUCCAGUGUGCGGCUGCCGGGGCUCCUCCUCAUCAUCGCUAUGUGGCCCCUUGUCCUUGUUUUCGGCAAUUAACUUGCCGGCCUGCUUGAACACCCAACAAUCCCUGUUGGUGUGAUUGGCUGGCUUGUCUAGGGUGCCGUGUAUUUGACACGAGCGAUCGAGUAUAUGGUCCAAGCUGGAAGGACCCGGCGUACUUUGUUUGAAUGGCUUUUUCCGCUAACUGGGUUUAGAGCCUUUGAAUCUGGCAUUGACUACCGUAUCCUCAGUAUUUUCGCUGUUAAUUCGGCGCUUAUGCUUGUUGCGACGUGACCUGCUAUUGCCGUCCUUGGUAUCUGAGGUACCAUGGUUCUUUGAUAUGUUAUUACUGCGAGCCAGCCAGCUGUCUUCUCCCGCACAAAAGCGGGUCAUGAGCGUCGUGAGAGCUGCCAUAGAUUUCGGCUUUUCCUGACCAAGGUGUCGGGCUAGCCACUCGUCUCGGAUGUUGUGCUUGAAAGCCGCUAAGGCCUCCGCAUCCGGAUAGUCGACGAUUUGAUUUUUCUUUGUAAGGAACCGAGUCCAAAGUUGCGUGGCCGACUCUUCUGGCUGCUGAAUUAUGUGGCUUAAAUCAUCGGCGUCUGGUGGUCGCACAUAAGUGCCCUGAAAGUUGUCGAGGAAUGCGGCUUCCAGAUCUUCCCAACAGCUAAUGGAGUCCGCUGGCAAGCUAUUAAGCCAAUGCCGCGCUGGUCCUUUGAGCUUUAGUGGGAGGUAUUUGAUGGAGUGUAAGUCAUCGCCGCGGGCCAUGUGGAUGUGGAGGAGGAAAUCCUCAAUCCAUACUGCGGGAUCUGUUGUGUCGUCAUAUGAUUCGAUAUUUACAGGUUUGAAACCUUCUGGGAAUUGAUGUUUCAUUACUUCGUCUGUGAAGCAUAAGGGGUGUGUGGCGCCUCUGUAUUGGGCUAUAUCACGACGUAGCUCGAAUAGGUCUUGCCCGCUGUGUUCGGCCCGAUCGAAUUUGCUUUUACUGUAUCCGGCGUGACGUUUGUCGUCUCGCAGAGUGGUGCGCCCUCGUGAUCCGUAGAUCAGUCUUGAAUGCUUUGCCUUGUCCUCCAAUAUGUCUCACAGGUCUAGCGUAUCUCCCCAUGCCUUUUUAUUUGAAUGGCAUUGGGGGGAGGCUGAGCUUUUGGCUGGAAUGCCUCUCUAUCACGGCCACGAGGUGGCCGAUCAGUCGUAUCAUACGCUUCUUCCGCCAGUCGGGGUAGUAACCGCGCCUUGGGUAACUCUUGGAAGGACGCUCGAGUUUAUAUUCCUCGGCUGCGAGGACUUCAGUCCAUUUGUCAGCUAGCAGAUCUUGAUUAGCUUGAAGCUGCUGCUGCUUUUUCCUCAGGCUAUUUGUCGUGGCGAUAAGCCGGCGCUUGAAGCGCUCUUGUUCGACGGGAUCCUCUGGUACGGCGAAUUCAUCGUCGCCGAGGCUUGCCUCGUCUUCGGAGGGGGGCAUGUGAUCAUCCUCCUCCUCUCCGUAUGCCGCUCUCUCAGGAGAGCUGGCUCCUUCAUCCUCCUUCUCUAAAUCUUGCUGGAGGGGAUUGUUGUUGUCUUCAGCACUAUCCGGGGUGUUAUUAUCUCCUGUGCCGGUAUCACCACUUUUGCUUUGGCGGGACUUAGAGCGGCGCCGCUGACGUUGGCGCUUGGGUUGCUUUUUGGAGGGGUCAUCCUCUGCUAUCUCGUCGCCAUUGCCUUCGUUGGGUGUAUCCACCAUGUAUAUGUCAUAUGACGAGGUGGCUUUCCAGUGCCCUAUAGGUGCUGAUUCAUGUUCGUCUCCUACAUCAUCGUCCAUAUCGUCGAUGUCUUCGGAGUCGAAGUCGAGCAUGUCGGUUAAAUCAUCGACAGUGUCUACGAAGUGGGUGGUGGGUGGGCGUCGAAUUUCUUCGCCGUCUGCAUCCCAAUCCUGUUGGCCAUAAUCCGGCCAGGGCUCUCCUAACAAAGAGAGAGACCUUAGUGAAUUCAGGAUGUCGCCAAAGGGCGAGUGCUGAAAGAUAUCCGCGGCGGUGAAUUCCAUGACUGGCGCCCAAUCGGAUUCGAUUGGCAGGGGCACGGAUGGUUCGGAGUCAGAAAAAGAGUCCGGCACCUUGGAGUCACGGGCUGCGCAGAGGAUUAUGCUGGUGUUUGGCUCGAUCAUUGUUAAGACUGCAGCCCCUGAGGCGGUGUCUAACCACCCGUCCUCGAUUGGCGCAGUUGGCUCCGAGCUAAGGGUCGGAGCUGAUGCGGGCGCGGCCUCUGGGGUACUGUUCGGCGGCAGAGCUAGGUCAUACCCAUCGCGAUAGUGCGGCGCGCCCGGCUGUGGCUCGAAUCCGUCGAAGAUCAAGUCUCCGCGGAUGUCGGUCAUGCAGUUCAAACUUCCAAAUCUGACCUGAUGGCCAGGGCGUAGCUUUCAAUCUGCUCCAGAUGGCCAAGCGAAUUAGCCCGUAGUGCAAAGCCGCCGAAUACGAAGAUCUGUCCGGGGAGAAAAGUCUCACCCUGGACCGCAUCGCUAUCGAUGAUAGUAGGAGCCAUCAAGCCUAACGGCGACGACACAAAGGAACUCUCAAUGAAAGCACCAAUGUCGGUAACAAAACCGGCGGAUCUCGGGUAGGGGGUUCCGAACUGUGCGUCUAGGCCGGAAGGUAACAGGAGGCAGGGGACACGAUGUUUUACCCAGGUUCGGGACCUCUUGAUGGAGGUAAAACCCUACGUCCUGCUUGACUAAUAUUGAUGAUAUGGGUAGUACAAGAGUAGAUCUACCACGAGAUCAGAGAAGCUAAACCCUAGAAGCUAGCCUAUGGUAUGAUUGUAUGUUAUGGUUGUUGUCCUACGGACUAAAACCCUUCGGUUUAUAUAGACACCGGAGAGGGUUAGGGUGACACAAGGUCGGUUACAAAGGAGGAGAUAUCCAUAUCCGUACUGCCUAGCUUACCUUCCACGCCAAGUAGAGUCCCAUCUGGACAUGAGACGAAGUCUUCAAUCUUGUAUCUUCAUAGUCUAACAGUCCGGCCAAUGGAGAUAGUCCGGCUGUCCGGAGACCCCCUAAUCCAGGACUCCCUCAUGGGUCUUUUUCCUGUUUGAUAUGAUGUAUGCACUCAAAAGCAAUCUGUGCAUUAUUAGUAAUCAUACGUCCUGGUAUAAAAGCACUCUGAGCAGGGGAAAUUAUAUCAUCCAGGACAGGUCUAAGCCUAUUGACCAGGCAUUUAGACACAACUUUGUAAAUAACAUUACAUAAGCUAAUAGGACGAAAAUCUGAAACCUUGUCUGGGUUAUGAAUUUUGGGAAUCAACACGAUUACUGUAUCAUUUACCUCUGGGGGCAUAACUCCUGUGUGAAAACAAUCCUUGACAGCGGCGAGAACACUGUCCUUGAGCGUAGACUAGUUCCGCUGAAAAAAGCGUGUCGGGAACCCGUCCGACCUAGGAGCCUUUAGGGGACCGAUCUGGAAAAGUGCAUCGGAGAUUUCUUUUUCAGUGAAUUCCUCACAUAACCUUUUAUUUGUUUCCUCUCCUACCAACGGUGCAAUAAGAUCAAUAAUAGGCGAUGCAUCCAGAUUACUAUCCACGGUGAAGAUAUCCUCAAAGUACCGAGUUGCAGCUACUCCCAUCGCUUUCGUAUCUAUGUGCAUCACACCAUUGGCAUCUUCUAGGUUUUUAUGCGGUUUUUCUUAGUUCGCCAAACAGACUUAGCAUGGAAAAAUCUUGUGUCGCGGUCGCCAUCCUUGAGCCAAGUGACACGUGCCCGUUGCAUCCACAUGAGCUCCUCUCUGUACAAUAAUUCAUUCAUUUUAUCAGCCACACUUCGUAUCUCCAUUCUAUCCGCAUUCAUCAGCAUAAGUUCUUCAAGUUGGGUGCGUGUUUUUUCUAUUUCCUUUACAAUGCUGCCAAAUUUUGUUUUACUCCACUGGCAUAAUUUACGCAUUGUAUCCCUUAAAGCUCCAUGCACAUCGCCUAACGAACUUUUUGUUCCAGCAGCCAACCAAGCUUUUGCAAUAACCUCCUGUAAUGCCGGUUCACGCUCCCACAUCACUUCAUACCUUCCGAUUCUUUGUUUGCAAGGCCGGUCCUCGAACUGCUCGCUAAAAACAUGAAGUAGCUCAUGGUCUGAACAUGGAGAAGUGAGGUGCGUGACCAGUGUCUGAUUGAAACAAUUUCUCCAUGUUGGGUUAGCCACAGCUCUAUCCAGACAAACUUUUACAUUUGUACUGCCAGCUCUCUUAUUAUCAUACGUAUAAGGCUCCAACAAAGCCUAAGUCAGUUAGUGCACAAAGCUCAAGGACAUCUCUGAAAGCUUGCAUUUGACUAGCUGCCCUUGGCGUGGCUGAAAAGUGCUUGAAAUCCCACAUACAUUCGUUGAAAUCACCACAUACAAGCCAAGGAAGAUCAUAUUGCGUGCUCAUACUCUGCAAAAGGGACCACAUAUUAUGACGGUCUUCUACCCUUGGCUCUCCGUAGACACAUGUUAGACGCCAAGGUGGGUCAUCUGGUCCUUCCCUCACAAGCGCGUCCAUGCAAUGUUAACUUGAGAAAACCACCUCAACAGAUAGGGAUUCAUGCCAAAAUAACGCAAGGCCACCACUAUUACCAAUACUAUCAACUGCAUCAAAACCUUGUAGUCCCAGCCGAACUUGGUACCUUUUCAUGCGAGUUUUAGACUGCCGAGUUUCACACAAAAACACCACUUUGGGGGAAUGCGACUGAACCAAAGUUGCCAAGUCAUGAACUGUCCGGGAGUUCCCCCCACCCCGGCAGUUCCAACUUAGAAGAUUCAUUUGUCCUGGUGGCGUUCCCCUUGGGAACCCGCCAUUGUGGACAAAGGUUUUGUUUUUGUUACAUUUUGAUCUGCUCUCAAUCUCUUUUGUUCCUGCUUUGAAGAAGGGCUGGGAGGAACUCUUUGUAUAGGAGCAGUUAGGAGGAGCUGGCCCUUGGCAACAACCAAAGAAGAAAUCUGCUCGCUGCUUGCUAAACCCUCUUCCUAAUAGCAUCCAGAUCAUCAUCUUUCCCAUCUUUCUUGCUUGCAUCAACAUCCAUUGCCUUGCCAUCACUUACCUCAGAAUUAUUUGCACAUGAGUCAUCAUCUGUAUUACGAUUUGCUCGUGCAGCUGAUCCCCAUGUAGCUCGUAAAUCUUUGAAGAUCAGAGCCGACACCGGGUGCACGCCGUCACCAUGUUCGGUGUGAAGAUGUCCGGUCAUACCACAAAAACCACACCAGUCCGGGAGGCGCUCAUACUUAACUAUGAAAAUCUCCCUUUUCCUCUUUCUCACAACAGAGACAUGGUUCUUCAAUUUGUUUCUGACAUCAAGAGUAAUUCUAACUCGAUAAAAGUUUCCAUCCACAUCUCUCCACUGUUAUCUAGGGAGUAGAACUCGCCCGCUGUUACUGCAAGAGCUUCAACCAGGGGCUCAAAGCCAUCAGGCAAAUCCAGAAUUUGCAUCCAAAUUCUAAAGCUAUAGAGAUCAAUGGAGGAAGGUUUUGUAAAUCCAUCAUAAGAAACCAUUAGAACUGGGUUACCACGGAAGGUCCAGGGCCCCCCCUCCAUUACCUUGUCCCAAUCUCCAAUACACGAGAAUUGCAUCGUAUACAUGCCAUCCCCAAGCGAUCUGAACCUAACAUCGUGUGCAAGAUCCUAGGCGCUACGCAUGUUCUUAUAGAACCAGAAGUCACCAAAUUCUUUUGUCGUAUGCACUCGCCCAAUCGCAAGCCAGCGGACAGCUUCAGUUACCGGCUUCAGGCAUACCUCCUUGUAGACCACAUCAACCAGAUCAUUGUCCUCAAUGCCCAAUUGUUUCAUUAGUUCCUGGAGAUCAUCAUCUCCAACCACCGACUCAGCCUCCACAGAUGCCAUGGUGAAAAAAGACCUAACCCUAGUUUACACGAGGGUCUGAGGGGGGUUCCAAUACACCGAUCCCGGGGGAGUAGCCAAGGCCGGGCGGCACCGCGAGGGUGCCCUUGAGUCAGCCCGAGUGCGAGCCCUGGUGGAGAACGGCGCGAUAGUGCAAACUUAGUGAUAUCUUAGAUUUAUGCAUGCCUGACUUGGUUACCAACAUUUUUUCCCAUGACCAUGUAUACCAUUCUGUUAGAAUCAACGAUACGUCUCCAAUGUAUCUAUAAUUUUUGAUUGUUCCAUGCUAUAUUAUAUUCUGUUUUGGACAUUAUUGGGCUUUAUUAUACACUUUUAUAUUAUUUUUGGACUAACCUAUUAACUGGAGGCCCAGCCCAGAAUUGUUGUUUUUUGCCUAUUUUAGGGUUUCACAGAAAAAGAAUAUCAAACGGAGUCCAAACGGAAUGAAACCUUCGGGAACGUGAUUUUUGGAACGAAUAUGAUCCAAAGGACUUGGACCCUACGUCAAGACAUCAACGAGGAGGCAGAUACGUCUCUGUCGUAUCUACUUUUCCAAACACUUUUGCCCUUAUUUUGGACUCUAACUCGCAAGAUUUGAAUGGAACUAACCCGGACUGACGUUGUUUUCAGCAGAAUUUCCAUGGUGUUAUUUAUGUGCAGAAGUAAAAGUUCUCGGAAUGACCUGAAACUUCACGGAACAUCUAUUCAGAAAUAAUAAAAAAUCCUUGCAAAAGAUGAAGACCAGGGGGGCCACCACCUGUCCACGAGGGUGGGGGCGCGCCCCCUACCCCGUGGCCCCCCUGGAGCCCCUCUGACCUCAAGCCCUAAAACCUCUCGGGAGGGCUGAUCUGGAGUCCGUUCGGUGCUCCGGAGAGGGGGAUUCGUCGCCGUCGUCAUCAUCAACCAUCCUCCAUCACCAAUUUCAUGAUGCUCACCGUCGUGCAUGAGUAAUUCCAUCGUAGGCUUGCUGGACGGUGAUGGGUUGGAUGGGAUUUAUCAUGUAAUCGAGUUAGUUUUGUUAGGGUUUGAUCCCUAGUAUCCACUAUGUUCUGAGAUUGAUGUUGCUAUGACUUUGCUAUGCUUAAUGCUUGUCACUAGGGCCCGAGUGCCAUGAUUUCAGAUCUGAACCUAUUAUGUUUUCAUCAAUAUAUGAGAGUUCUUGAUCCUAUCUUGCAAGUCUAUAGUCACCUAUUAUGUGUUAUGAUCCCUUAACCCCGAAGUGACAAUAAUCGGUAUACUUACCAGUGAUGACCAUAGUUUGAGGAGUUCAUGUAUUCACUAUGUGCUAAUGCUUUGUUCCGGUACUCUAUUAAAAGGAGGCCUUAAUAUCCCUUAGUUUCCAUUAGGACCUCGCUACGACGGGAGGGUAGGACAAAAGAUGCCAUGCAAGUUCUUUUCCAUAAGCACGUAUGACUAUAUUCGGAAUACAUGCCUACAUUACAUUGAUGAAUUGGAGCUAGUUCUGUGUCACCCUAGGUUAUGACUGUUACAUGAUGAACCGCAUUCGGCAUAAUUCUCCAUCACUGAUUCAUUGCCUAUGAGCUUUCAUAUAUUGUUCUUCACUUAUUUACUUUUCCGUUGCUAUUGCUAUCAUCAUUACAAAAUACCAAAAACAUUACUUUUUCUACCGUUACCACUACUAUCAUAUUACUUUGCUACUAAAUACUUUGCUGCAGAUAUUAAGUUUCCAGGUGUGGUUGAAUUGACAACUCAGCUGCUAAUACUUGAGAAUAUUCUUUGGCUCCCCUUGUGUCGAAUCAAUAAAUUUGGGUUGAAUACUCUACCCUCGAAAAUUGUUGCGACCCCCUAUACUUGUGGGUUAUCAAGACUAUUUUCUGGUGCCGUUGCCGGGGAGCAUAGCUCUAUUCUUUGAGUCACUUGGGAUUUAUAUCUGCUUAUCAUUAUGAAGAACUUGAGAGAUCCAAAAACCAAAAUUUAUCCCUCAACUACGAGGGGAGGUAAGGAACUGCCAUCUAGCUCUGCACUUGAUUCACCUUCUGUUUUGAGUAAGCUUGCGACACCUAAACCUGCUUCUGUUAUUCGUUCUGAUAUGUCGCAUGUUAUUGAUGAUGCCACUUCUGCUAUGCAUGAUACUUAUGAUGAAACUACUUCUAUGCUUGAUACUACUGUGCCACUUGGUGAAUUUCUUGAUGAACAACUUUCUAGGGUUAGAGAGAUGAAAAUAUUGAAUCUGAUAAUAUUGCUGAAAGUGAUGAUGAAGACUCACCUGUUAUUCCUGAGGGUUAUGUCUUUGAAAAAGAAGCUGCUCUAGCUAUUUUAGCUUGCAAAUAUAGAUACGAACUUAAGAGGUUAUUAGCUAAAUGGAAUAAGCAAUCUCUAAAUGCUAGGAUGAAACCUGACCUUGCUUUUGCUACUUCACCUAUCUAUGUUACUGAUAAGAAUUAUGAAUUCUCUGUUGAUCCUGAUAUAAUUACUUUGGUGGAAUAUGAUCCUUUUUCAUGGCUAUGAAUCUGAAACUGUUGUAGCACAUCUUACUAAAUUAAAUGAUAUAGCCACCCUAUUCACGAAUGAUGAGAGAACUCGUUACUUUUAUAUCCUUAAAAUAUUCCCGUUGUCAUUAAAGGGUGAUGCUAAGAUAUGGUUUAAUUCUCUUGAUCCUGGUUAUGUGCGUAGUCCCUAGGACAUGAUUUAUUACUUCUCUGCUAAAUAUUUCCCUGCUCAUAAGAAACAAGCUGCUUUAAGGGAUAUAUAUAAUUUUGUGCAAAUUGAAGAAGAGAGUCUCCCACAAGCUUGGGGGAGGCUUCUCCAAUUACUUAAUGCUUUGCCUGAUCAUCCUCUUAAGAAAAAUGAAAUACUUGAUAUCUUUUAUAAUGGACUAACCGAUGCUUCCAGAGAUUACCUGGAUAGUUGUGCUGGUUCUGUUUUCACGGAAAGAACACUGGAUGAAGCUGAAAUUCUAUUGAAUAAUAUGUUGACCAAUGAAAAUAAUUGGACACUUCCUGAGCCUAUUCCUAAACCAACUUCGAAGAAGAGAGGUGUUCUAUUUCUCAGUCCUGAAGAUAUGCAAGAGGCAAAGAAAAUCCAUGAAAGAAAAGGGUAUUAAAGCUGAAGAUGUUAAGAAUUUACCUCCUACUGAAGAAAUACAUGGUCUUAAUUUACCGCCUGUUGAAGAAACAUAUGACCUUAAUCCAUUACCUAUUAAAGAAACUCAUGGUCUUGAUAACCCGACACAGUUAGUAAAGUAAAUUCUCUCUAUGGAUAUGAUAAAGCUGAAAUCCCAUUUACUAAGUUUGCUAGCCCAUGCUUAGAUGAGUUUGAUAAAUUUAUGGCUAAGCAAGAAGACUUUAAUGCUUAUUUUGGUAGACAAUUGAAAUACAAUUCAAAUAUGCUUGAACACUUGGGUGAUUAUAUGGCUAAUGUUAAAGGUGAACUUAAACUUAUUAGUAAAAAUGCUUCUAUGGUUACCACUCAAGUAGAACAAGUACUUAAAGCUCAAAAUGAUUUGCUCAAUGAAUUGAAUAGUAAGAAUAAUGAUUAUGCUGUUAGAGUGGCUACUAGAACUGGUAGAAUGACUCAGGAACCUUUGUAUCCUGAAGGCCACCCUAAGAGAAUUGAGCAAGAUUCUCGAAGAAAUAAUGUAGAUACACCUAGUCCUUCUAAUAGGAAGAAAAAGAAAAAUGAUAGGAGUUUGCAUGCUUCUAGUAAACCUAUUACUGAAACACCUGAGAAUCCAAAUGAUAUUUCUAUCUCUGAUGCUGAAACACAAUGUGGUAAUGAACCUGAAACUAGUGAUAAUGUUAAUGAUAAUGUUCAUGAUGAUGUUCAACCUAGUAAUGAUAAUGAUAUAGAAAUUGAACCUGUUGUUGAUCUUGAUAACCCACAAUCAAAGAAUCAAUGUUAUGAUAAGAAAGACUUUGUUGCUAGGAAACACGGUAAGGAAAGAGAGCCUUGGGUUCAGAAACCCAUGCCUUUUCCUCCCAAACCAUCCAAGAAAAAGGAUGAUGAGGAUUUUGAGCGCUUUGCUGAAAUGAUUAGACCUAUCUUUUUGCAUAUGCGAUUAACUGAUAUGCUCAAAAUGAUUCCUUAUGCUAAGUAUAUGAAAGAUAUUGUUACAAAUAAAAGAAAGAUACCGGAAGCUAAAAUUUCCACCAUGCUUGCUAAUUAUACUUUUAAGGGUGGAAUACCAAAGAAACUUGGAGAUUCGGGAGUACCCACUAUACCAUGCUCCAUUAAAAGAAAUUAUGUUAAAACUGCUUUAUGUGAUCUUGGAGCCGGUGUUAGUGUUAUGCCUCUCUCUUUAUAUCGUAGAUUUGAUUUGAAUAAGUUGACACCUACUGAAAUAUCUUUGCAAAUGGCUGAUAAAUCAACUGCUAUACCUGUCGGUAUUUGUGAGGAUGUGCCUGUUGUGGUUGCAAAUGUUACUAUUUUAACGGACUUUGUUAUUCUUGAUCCCCGAGGACGAUAGUAUGUCUAUUAUUCUUGGAAGACCCUUUUUGAAUACUACAGGGGCUGUUAUUGAUUGCACUAAAGGCAAUGUCACUUUUCAUGUUAAUGGUAAUGAGCAUAUGGUACACUUCCCGAGGAAACAACCUUAAGUUCAUAGUAUCAACUCUAUUGGAAAAUUUUCAUCAAUUAUAUUUGGAGGUUUUGAAUUUCCUCUUCCUACUGUCAAGAAGAAAUAUGAUAUUCUUAUUAUUGGGGAUGUGCAUAUCCCCGUUGAGGUAACAUAGUGUUAUUCGAAAUUUCUCCGGUUCCAUGUUAUUCGGGAUGAGUUCGUUAACAAGACUUGAUCAACCUUGUUAGUGGAUUCCUUUUGAUGAGCAUGAGAUGGAUGAAACUAGAAGGCACAACCUUAUGUACCCCACUUUUACUUUCUGUUAUUUAUAUUAAAAAAUAAAAAUAAGUACUUUCUGUCUGUUAUCUGAAUAAUCCGUGCAAUAUAAAAAUACCCCAAAAAUAAAAGUUCUCCAAAUGCCCUGAAAUUUAAAUAUGAUUUUUUUCUGAAAUAUUUGAUAAUAUUUGGCACUGAGAACACAUCAGGAGGAGCUGGCACCUGGCCACGAGGGUCAGGGGCGCGCCCUACCCCCUAGGCGCACCCCCUGCCUCGUGGGCCCAUGGUGGCCCUCCUCCACUUAUCCUUUGACCCACACACUCCUUCUUCCUCCCACAAACACGAAUAUCCAGCUCAAACCCGAGUCCAAGCUCAUUUUGCUGCCAUUUUCGAUCUCCUUGCUCAAAGCACCUCUCACAAAACAGCUUGGGGAGAUUGUUCCUUGGUAUGUGACUCCUCCAUUGGUCUAAUUAGUUUUUGUUCUAGUGCUUUAUUCAUUGCAAAUUUAUGCUGCCUAGGUGACCAUGUUCUUGAGCUUGCAUGUCAAAUUUAUAUGGUUCCAAGUAGUUUUGAUGCAUGAUAUAGACUCUAGGCACUUGUAUGAGUAGUUGCUAUCAAUAUUAUUGAGUUUGGCUUACUUUUAUUUUUGAAGUUACUAAAAAUUUCAGAAAUUUUUAGAGGAAGAAAUAUGCUUAGGAAAAUGUACCAAGGUGGUUCUUCAAGGAAGCAAGGACCCAGGCUUGCAAUGCAUGAUGCUGAUGAAGAGCCACCAAGAGACGCUCCAGUGCGUCCUUGUGAAUGGCCCUCGGAAAACUUUAUGGAUCGAGCGGGAAUUAAGGAAGAAUUUAACGCAUAUUUGCGUAACGCCGAUCUUGUGAGCUUCGAGGAAGAAAAGUGCCGCCAGUACCACUAUCUCACUAGUACCUUUAUGAGGAGGUUUGAAUUUUCAUCUUCACGUAAUUCUCCAACUGUCCUGUUUGAUCUCUAUGAAAAAUCAUACACUAUGGACUUAGAGGAUUUUACCACUGCUUGCAAACUUCCACAAUGGGGUAGUGCUAGUGAACCCCGCAAAUCUGAAUUUGGAGACUUUCUUGCUAGCAUAACUGUGGGGGAAUCUAGAGAUAUAACACAAGCUACCAUAGGGAGCAUUCACUUUCCCGCUAUACAUUAUUUCUCUCUCUUCAUAGGUAGGUGCAUAAAUGGUAAAGAUGAAGCAUGUCAUAUGUGUGUUCCUGACCUCAAUAUUCUUAGGAGUGCUGCGUUAGGAGACAAAUCCUAUAAUUUGGGAGCCAUUGUUGCAUGUAGGUUGCAUCUUAAUAGAUUUAAUGGAGAUUUCUUUGGUGGAAUUUAUGCAACCCGCUUAGCUGAUUUUCUUGGUGUAACCAUACGUAAUGAUGAUAUUGAAUUGCCUCCUGCUUACCUAGACUUUAAUGCUAUGGUUCACCACCAGUUUGUUGAGAGGAAUGAAUCACCUCUCCAGUAUCGCUUAAUUUUUGACAGACGCCGUGUUGUCCGUAUUACUCUCCCUGCUCCUGCCUUCUUUGUUUAUCAGGCAAAAGGAAGAUAUGUUAUUACCAGAGAGGAGGCAGGUGAGUACGAGAGGAGGGCGGAGGCCGCUCGUCGCCAUGCUCCAACUCAGGAGGCGAUAGCCGCUGCAUCUCAGUAUGACCCCAACUUUUACUAUGGAUAUCAGCCAGGCCAGCCAUGGCCAUAGACCAACUUAGGCCAAAAGCCUAAGCUUGGGGGAGUACAUAUUUCUCACCGACAUUACAUUUAUGCUCACACACUCAUUGCUAGAUGUCGGUGCUCAUACUUUUUCAUUUGUAUCAUCCAUGCUAGUUUAUUUCCUUUUUAUGCUUUCUUCUUGUGUGUUUAAUAAACCUUAAGAAAAACCAAAAAAAAUAGUUGUAGCCUUUAAUUAGUUUACUUUCCAUGCUUGUAGUAGUAAUUAAAAAGAAAACCUAAAAAGAUUUUUUUGUUCUUCUUUUGCUUGUUGGGAGCUUUCCCGUGUAAAUAGUUUUAUUUCUUUUCUUUUCUUUGGGGGUCGAUAGGAGAAGACCAUAAUUAAAUUGUUGUAGUGGCUCUUAUAUGCAUUAUUGUUGAUCUGACAAAAGAGCCCAUAUUGCCUUGUCUUCUCCUGUUUGUUGAAUGCUUGCAGAUUCCAGCUUAGUCCAAUGCACGUGCACUACUAUUAUUAUUCACACUAUUCGGUCGUGCAAGUGAAAGGCAAUUAUGACGAUAUAUGAUGGACUGACUGAGAUGAGAAAAGCUGGUAUGAACUCAACCUCUCUUGUUUUUGUAAAUAUGAUUAGUUCAUCGUUCCUGAUUCAGCCUAUUAAUAAUAAACAUGUUUGCAAUGACAACUAGAGAUCAUAGUUUCUUGUGCCAUGCUUGAUUAGCUAGGAGCUUAUAAUGGUUUACCUUGCAUGCCAACAUGCUAUUAAAAUGGUUGUGAUGUGGUAUGAUAGCGUGGUAUCCUCCUCUGAAUGAUUUAAGUGACUUGACUUGGCACAUGUUCACGCAUGUAGUUGAAACAAAAUCAACAUAGCCUUCACAAUAUUUAUAUUCAUGGUGGAUUAUAUCCUACUCAUGCUUGCAUUCGGUGUUGAUUAAUUUUAAUGCAUGUUCAUGACUAUUGUCGCUCUCUAGCUGGUCGCUUCCUAGUCUUUUGCUAGCCUUCACCUGUACUAAGCGGGAAUACUGCUUGUGCAUCCAAUCCCAUAAACCCCAAAGUUACUCCACAUGAGUCCACUAUACCUUCCUAUAUACGGUAUUUACCUACCGUUCCAAGUAAAUUUGUAUGUGCCAAACUAUGACACCCCAAAAUUUUGGCCUUGUUUUGUUAAAUUAAAAUUUUUGCCAGGAAUUAAAACUUUGAUUUUUUUUGGACUCCCUUUUGAUUUUUUGAAACAUUUCCUUUCUUAUUAUCAUGGAGUUGUUCCCUAAAGUGAAAACCCUUCAAAUAUGUUAUUGGACUUGUUUAACCUCUCAAGAAAAACUUUUCUUUUAUCAGUAUAACUAAUUACCUAAUUAAAUUGCUUGAUCUUUAUUUUCUUGAAAAAUGGUUUUCCAAGGUUAUAUGGCCAUAAUUGAACUACAACCAUUUGAUAAAUUCACCUAAAAUUCCAACCAAAAUUUGGAGAUGUCAUGUGAUGUUUUUAAAUCACUUUUAUACAAAAAUAUCUUUUAUUCAUGUAAUAUUUUGAGCUCUGCAUCCAUUUUUCUUCUCUGGUCUAGAGUGCAAUUUUGCACUACAACCCAUUUAAAUAUUUCUCUCUGGCCUCCACCAAAAUUAGGGGAUGUUGGUAGUAGCAUAUGAUUCAACAUUAUGCAAAAACCUAGUGCUGUUCUUUGAAAUUUUUGAGUGAAUCAACCUCUUUUCCAUUCUGGUCUAGCCUAGGUGAUUUGCAAAGCAAGUACCUAAUUUCCUUUGAGUUUUGAUCUCAAACCAACUCCUCUGGAUAGUCCUUAGCACCCAAAACCUAGGACCAUCAAGAUCCACUCUUCUUCUUUCUAAAAUUUUCAAGUUUCAGCCUCUACAGGUUUGGACCAGAUUCGUCAAAUUUGGUGAAAUUCAUAUUUUCUCUUCUCCAAAAAUUCUACCAAAAUUCAGGCAACCUCCUAGUGCAAUGAGAGGCCACUCCACCAAGUUUCAGCUCAAGGAAAAAUCCCUUCAUGCCAAAAGCAUACUAUCGAACACCUGAAUUGCACUGUUUCUUUGCACUUUCAGAAAUUCAGUAAAGUUCAGAGUUUCAGUUUCGUCAGACUUCGGUCACGCGACCACAGUGCACCCUGGCGUGAUGCACACGGCCCCAUCCCCUUGGCCAGCACCCCGCACGCGCGCUUGGCGCCUUCCUGGCGUCGGUGGCGCCCUGGCCCGCCUGCGCCGGCGUCUCCCGCGGCGGCAGAGCCACCGUAGCGGCCGAUAGGGGGCAACACUACGGCAUAACGCCGUUCAGCACCGCCCAAACCUUCUGAGAGCUCCGCGUGGCCACCUCCUUACCAGCGCACGCAUGCAGCAUCGUCAUCGUGGCCUGGCACGCGCAGAGCGUGUUCUUUACCGCCGGCGUGCCAUGCGGCCGUUCCGUCGAGGGCAGGCCGUAAUCCUCCCUCCCUUGCUGAGUUGGACACUGGGAUGGCACCGCUGCUUCACCUAGACGAUGCUCAAGCCCCUAAGCCGACCGUCCACCCACAGCGCCGCCGUAAUCACCCGCCGGACUUAUCCGUUCACGGCAACCGCCUCGGGCCAUCUAUAUAUAGCCCCCCCGAGCUUGCUCUUGCCCCCGCACAACUCCACCACCUCGCCAGACCCCGCCUAGCCACUGAAGGAGCCUCGAGGAGCCUUUCUUCCUCGACUCCGGCCACCUCCGUCCGCCUCGGGCUCCGGUGACGUUCUCUUCAGUGAGGCCGUCCCCGGCGCCCAGACUCCGUCAAUCACCUCCUCUAGCUACCAGAGGCCUAACCCCCUCCUCAAUUUGCCCUUCGCAGCACUCUCCGGCGAGCUCCAUACACGCCCGAACCAUCGUCCGCCGGAGCAGGAGCCACCGCCGACGUGGUGCUCGCCGACCACCACCACCACCACCAACCGACGCGGAGUGAUUCCAUGAGCACGUUGGUAACCUCCGAUCCCCCUGCCUCGCCGUAGAUCGCCGCCGGGGAUCGCCGCGGCCCUCUAGCGCCAAAGCUCUGCUUCUGUUUUCAAACCCGACGGAUGGGUCCGCCCCGUCAGCCUUUUAUUCUUUUCAAAUCGUUUUCUGGAAACGCCUUCGGGCAAAAUACGCUUUCUCCACUGAACUGGCGUAUUCGGGACUGAAGCGUUUUCUGAUUUUAUAAAGAGAACCCUGGAAAGUUUCUGUUUCAUUACAGAAAAGUCCCUGGAUUAAAACUCUUAUAACUUUUAAACAGAAAAUGAUUUUUGAUUGAUUUUUUCUGUCCUCUUUAAAUUUUUGUCUAGUUUUUUAUCAUAUUUAUUUGAAAAAAAUUUGAACAAUUUUUUUGUGCUAUUUUGAAAUUGUGUGUUAAUUCAAAUUUAUUGAAAAUAGGAUUUUGGAGAGAGGAAGAAAACUUUCAAAAAGUUUUGGAGAGCACCCCCACCUCUCCACACCUUGAAGGCAAGCAUUCUGAACCCCGGCAUAAUAUUUUUGGUGUGUUAGUUGACACGUUUAUAACACCACCUUAUAUCGGAGAACUUGUUAUUUCAUGUGAUAUGAUCAAUUGCAUGAAGGCAUAUUAGUGAUUUCCUUGCUGUUGGAAAUGAAUAUACUUGUGAUGGUAAUCACCCUCAUGUGCCAUGCAUGCAUGCCGGAAAGGAAUUCGGGAAAGCCUCUGCCUUGGGUAGGAGUGAGCUUGUCGCCGGUCCCCGUCGGGACGGUUAUGUCCGGUAUGGCAUGGUAAGGUAUAUUGAGUGGUGAUUUUGUUGGUUGAAAUAUAUUUGUUAUACAUGUCAUGCAGGGAAUUUAUAAACCUCCCGAGUCGACCGUAGACCGAGUCUUGUUCCAGUAACCCCCAUACUUGCCUCGUACUACCACUUGUCUCUGCCGCAGGUAGGGUACGUUUCAGUAAGUCAUCAACCCCUUUCUAGCACACACCGUACAGAGAGGCCAUGGUGGAAGAUGUCGGUUGUAGACGGUAGGCAUACCAUCUAGUCAGGGGGCAUGGGUGUUUCCGGUUGGGACCGAGAGGGGAGGCCACCCCUUAGAGCGCGCGAUAUAAAUUUGAUCCCAUGCUACGCGAGGUUGUAGCCUCCCCACUUAGAGUUUUGCUUAACAAGUGUCGUGGGUGAUUCUAGACACCGCUGAGUUAAGCUGGUGUGUGCAAGUUAGGCGUGUUUUCAACUAAAAGCCCGUAGACGGAAUUAGUCCCGAUGGUCUAAAGGAAUCCGUUACUCGUGGGUAAAGAGUACACCCUCUGCAGAGAUUAAACCUAUUCGAAUAGCCGUGUCCAUGGUUAAGGAUUACAGUCUGGGAUGGGUCAAGUGUUGGUCUUAGUGUCGGUCUUCGGAGGAGAUAUUGUUAAACCAAACUUGGAUACCGACUAGUUACUUGUGAGGACCAUGAUUAUUAUUUUGUGAUGGACUAACCCGUUGCAUUAUUUAUAUUAUCAAGUAUCCCUGGGACGGUUCUACCUCCUGGAUAUUCAUUGUGAUUAUUUAUUUUAUAAGCUCUUUAUGUGGUGUCGCUCAGACGCCCGACUGUGGCAUUUCUUUUAAAGCCCUUUAUGUGGUGUCGCUCAGACGCCCGACUGUGGCAUUUCUCUUAUAAGCCCUUUAUGUGGUGUCGCUCAGACGCCCGACUGUGGCAUUUCUUUUAAAGCCCUUUAUGUGGUGUCGUUCAGACGCCCGACUGUGGCAUUUCUUUUAAAGCCCUUUAUGUGGUGUCGCUCAGACACCCGACUAUGGCAUUUCUUUUAAAGCCCUUUAUGUGGUGUCGCUCAGACGCCCGACUGCGGCAUUUUAUUCCCACUCCAUUACUACUUAUUCAUGUUGCAUGAAAAUAACCUGCUUGCAUGCAUAAAAGAUGUUUUAUUUAUGACUGACGAUGUGAUCAUAGAAUUUUUUUCAGUGCAUGAUUAUCAAUUAUAUUAUACCUGUGUUCUUAAUGUUUGCGAGUACAUUCAAAAGUACUCACUGGCUUGUCCCUGGCUAUUGUCUUGGCCAGAUUUCUGCAUGGAGAGGAGCGUUGCGGUGGCAGCCCCGGAAACUAAGCAACGGUGAUAGCAGCCUCGCGAGGAUAGGAGUUGACCUGGUCAGCUGUUCCUAUGGGAAAUGGAGUCCCAUAGACACUGACGACCCACAAACAGCUUCCGCCAUCAACCACUAGAAACCCAAUUGUUGUACUCACAGGCCAGAAUUGUCUUGUACUACAUAUGUUGUAUUUUGCUUGGAAUUUCUGUAUCAAGUUGGCGCCUCAUCAGCUAACAGUUAUCCUGGGGCUGGUGAGUACAACGGCCAUUUUCUGGAAUUUAAAACCCGGAAAACCGGUCGUGACAGACUUGGUAUCAGAGCCAGGCUGACCAUUGGCUAAUCCUAUCUUAGCCGGGUCUAUAAACUUAGGCAAACCAACCCACCAAACCAUAACCAAACCCCAGUCAAGCUUCUCGUGCAAGAUAGCCACACAGUAACCCAACACCUUUUGGCAGUCGGUGCCCAACCUAUCAACCUAACCUGUCGCUCAUGCGCCAGUGAUCGAAUCCUAAAUAGUCCUUUCUCGCAAACGUGCGAAGGAAGACUCCGUCCCCUUUUCCUAUAAAGAGGGGCACGCUAGCCCCAACACAACACAGCACAACCUCUACCCCAAACCAAGCUACAAUGCCUGGCCCUGUCGUGCACAAUGAGACCACGGCAACCAACCUUGGAGGCUUUGUGACCAUACUCGCAAACCUCACCCGUCGUGCCUAUGUGUUAGAAGAGCCCCCAGAAUAUGUUGUGUACCAAUGACCCAUGAGCGGUGAGAACCGUCAAUUCUGGGCCACUGUACACAUCUACGGUAGGGGUCUAGAGCCCGAGCACCCCUACAGGUUCACCGGAAGGACAACUUCCUUUGAAACUCAAGCCAUCCAACUAGCUGCUCGAGAGGCUAUAGUUCAUCUCCGGCACUUGUCGCCCAGAGUUAACUGUCGCUCGUUCCACUACUAUCCCAGACGUGAAGGGUAUGGUAGACCACCCCAAGUUGCCAACGGAGAUCACGAGACAGAUCCUGCAUUGUUGCACCUAGUGCGCUAUGUAAGUGCACUAGAGGAACUGUGCGAUCAAAUCACUAUUGAUCUAAUCGCAGCUCGUGGAGAGCUGGUUCGUCGAGCCCCGGCGAGAGAAGAGAACGAGCCUAACGCCGACAACCCAGUCGUGCUGUUUGGACACCCGAUCGAGUCCCUGAGGCCUGCCCCAGCCAUCGGCCAAGGUGCUACGAUAACCCCAGAGGUGCUUCAUCGCAUAUUGGGAGCACACAACCAACAAUCCCCGAGAUGGUCCUCAUCGCUACCCCGAGCCUGCAGCCCCUCAACCCACUCCAGCUAAUUCCGACGACGAGACCCGUGGAGGAGCCUCAUGGCACGCCCGCUUAGAUGUAAACGAGGUAGACUAAGUCACCCGAGUCGUAUCGAGUCCCAGUGUACCCUCGCUUUGUAAUCGUGUGGCCUUGUAAUUAAAUGCCGCCUGUUGUCGUGCCUCUGUUUUAAUAGUAGCCUUCCCUGGAUACGCCAGUAUGCAGUAUAAGAUUUCUAUCCCAGACACAGUUACCAAAAAAAAAA